Molecule: small nuclear RNA, 164 nt
Filed under: Aotus nancymaae (Ma's night monkey)
Lineage: Eukaryota; Metazoa; Chordata; Mammalia; Primates; Aotidae
Description: U1 spliceosomal RNA (ENSANAG00000008729.1)
Rfam family: U1 spliceosomal RNA
About the family: U1 is a small nuclear RNA (snRNA) component of the spliceosome (involved in pre-mRNA splicing). Its 5' end forms complementary base pairs with the 5' splice junction, thus defining the 5' donor site of an intron.
Source: Rfam by way of RNAcentral
UUACUUACCUGGCAGGGGAGAUACCAUGAUCACGAAGGUGGUUUUCCCAGGGCGAGGCUUAUCCAUUGCACUCCGGAUGUGCUGACCCCUGCAAUUUCCCCAAAUGUGGGAAACUCGACUGCAUAAUUUGUGGUAGUGGGGGACUGCGUUCGCGCUUUCCCCUG